Long non-coding RNA from Astatotilapia calliptera (eastern happy), 10669 nucleotides. NCBI's taxonomy places the organism in Eukaryota, Metazoa, Chordata, Actinopteri, Cichliformes, Cichlidae. The record is from Ensembl.
CCAUCUUCAUCUGCUUUAUCCGAGGCCGGGUCGCAGGGGCAGCAGCCGAGAGGCCCAGACCUCCCUCUCCCCAGCCACCUCCUCCAACUUAUCCGGGGGAACACCAAGGCAUUCCCAGGCCAGCCGAGAGAUAUAAUCGCUCCAGCGUGUCCUGGGUCUGCCCCGGGGCCUCCUCCUGGUGGGACAUGCCUGGAACACCUCACCCAGGAAGCGCCCAGGAGGCAUCCUGCUCCUUUCGAUGUGGAGCAGCAGGCUCCUUUCGAUGUGGAGCAGCAGCGGCUCUACUCUGAGCCCCUCCCGGAUGGCCGAACUUCUCACCCUAUCUCUAAGGGAGAGGCCAGCCACCCUUCGGAGAAAGCUCAUUUCUGCCGCUUGUAUCCGCGAUCUCGUUCUUUUGGUCACUACCCACAGCUCGUGGCCAUAGGUGAGGGUAGGGACGUAGAUCAACCGGUAAAUUGAGAGCUUCACUUUUACACUCAGCUCCCUCUUCACCACAAUGGACCGGUGCAGCGUCCGCAUUACUGCAGCUGCAGCCCCAAUCCGUCUGUCGAUCUCCGGCUCCCUUCUCCCAUCACUCGCGAACAAGACCCCGAGACACUUGAGGCAGAAACUCAUCCCCGACCCGGAGUGGGCACUCCACCCUUUUCCGGCUGAGAACCAUGGCCUCAGAUUUGGAGGUGCUGAUCCUCAUUCCCGCUGCUUCACACUCGGCUGCAAACCGUUCCAGUGCGAGCUGGAGGCCCUCACCCGAUGAAGCCAACAGAACCACAUCAUCCACAAAAAGCAGAGAUGAGAUUCUGAGGCCACCAAAGCGAAAGCCCUCCGCCACUUGGCUGCGCCUAGAAAUCCUGUCCAUAAAAAUUAUGAACAGAACCGGAGACAAAGGGCAGCCCUGGCGGAGCCCAUCACCCACCUGGAACGAGUCCGACUUAUUGCCGGCAAUGUGAACCAAGCUCUUGCAACGGUUGUAUAGGGAUUGAAUGGCCCGUAGCAAUGGGCCAGACACCCCAUACUCCCGCAACACCUCCCACAGGACACCCCGAGGGACACAGUCAAAUGCCUUCUCCAAGUCCACAAAACACAUGUAGACUGGUUGGGCAAACUCCCAUGCACCCUCAAGUAUCCUUGAGAGGAUAAAAAGCUGGUCCAGUGUUCCGCGACCAGGAUGAAAACCGCAUUGGGGCGACCGUGGCUCAGGGGGUUGGGAAUUGCAUCUGUAACCGGAAGGUUGCCGGUUCGAUCCCUGGGCUCUCUGUCCUAGUCGUUGUGUCCUUGGGCAAGACACUUUACCCUACUUGCCUACUGGUGUUGGCCAGAGGGGCCGAUGGCGCGAUAUGGCAGCCUCGCUUCUGUCAGUCUGCCCCAGGGCAGCUGUGGCUACAAACGGUAGCUUGCUUCCACCAGUGUAUGAAUGUGAGAGUGAAUGAAUAGUGGUAUUGUAAAGCGCUUUGGGUGCCUUGAAAAGCGCUAUAUAAAUCCAAUCCAUUAUUAUUAUUGUUCCUCCUGUAUCUGAGAUUCGACUAGCGGACGAAGUCUCCUUUCCAACACCCUGGCAUAGACUUUCCCAGGGAGGCUGAGGAGUGUGAUCCCACUGUAGUUGGAACACACCCUCUGGUCUCUCUUCUUAAAGAUGGGGACCACCACCCUGGUCUGCCAGUCCAGGGGUACUGCCCCGGAUCCCCACGCAACAUUGUAGAGGCGUGUCAACCAGGACAACCCUACAACGUCCAGAGCCUUCAGGAACUCGGGGCGGACCUCAUCAACACCAGGGGCUCUGCCACCAAGGAGUUGUUUAACUGCCUCAAUGACCUCGCCCCCGGAAAUUGGCGACUCAUCCCCAGACUUUGCUUCCUCCUUGGAAGACGUCUCAGUGGGAUUAAGGAGGUCCUCGAAGUAUUCCUUCCACCGCCUGACAAUUUUCUCAGUCGACGUCAGCAGCACUCCGGCAGCACUAUACACAGUGCAGGUAGAGCACCGCUUUCCCCUCCUGAGAUGCCUGACGGUUUGCCAGAAUCUCUUCGAGGCAGUCCAAAAGUCUUUUUCCAUGGCCUCUCCGAACUCCUCCCACACCCGAGUUUUUGCUUCAGCCACUGCCCAAGCCACAUUCCGCUUGGCCUGUUGGCUGCCUCUGGAGUCCCACAGGCUAACCAAGCCCGAUAGGACUCCUUCUUCAGCCUGGUGGCUCCCUUGACCUCCGGUGUCCACCAUUUGGUUCGGGGAUUACCACCACGGCAGGCACCAACCUCCUUGCGGCCGCAGUGCAAUGUAGCAGCUUCGGCAAUGGAGACGCUGAACAUGGUCCAUUCGGACUCAGUGUCCCCAGUCUCCCUCGGAAUGCUGUUGAAGCUCUACCGGAGGUGUGCGUUGAAGCUCUCGCGGACUGGGGCCUCUGCUAGACCUUCCCAGCACACCCUCACUACGCGUUUAGGUGCACCGGGUCUGUCCAGCGUCCUCCCCCGCCACCUUAUCCAACUCACCACCAGGUGGUGAUCAGUUGACAGCCAGCCCCUCUCUUUACCCGAGUGUCCAGAACAUAUGGUCGCAGGUCUGGUGAUACGAUUACAAAAUCGAUCAUCGACCUACGGCCUAGAGCGUCCUGGUGCCACGUGCACUUAUGGACAACCUUAUGUUCGAACAAGGUGUUCGUUAUGGCCAAACUGUGAUUUGCACAGAAGUCCAAUAAAACACCAUUAGGGUUCUGAUCAGGGAGGCCGUUCCUCCCAAUGACGCCCCUCCAGGUCUCGCUGUUGUUACCCAUGUGAGCACUGAAGUCUCCCUGCAGGACAACAGAGUCUCCACGUGGAGCACCUUCCAGCACCGAUGACAAGCGCAGAUGACAGUCGAGACCCGUUCCCCGACCCUAAGGCGCAGGGAACAAACCCUCUCAUCCACCUGGAAAAACCCCAACGUACCGGCAGCCAGCUGAGGGAAUAUUAGAAUACCCACCCCAGCCCGCCGCCUCUCACCAGGGGCAACUCCAGACUGAGACAGUGUCCAGCCCCUCUCUAGGAGACUGGUUGCAGCGCCCAAGCCAUGCGUAGAGGUGAGCCCGACUAUAUCUAGCCGGUACCUCUCAACCUCACGCACUAACUCAGGCUCCUUGCCCACCAGAGAGGUGACAUUCCAUGUCCCUAUUGCCAGUCUUGGCAGCCGGAGAUCAGUCCGCCAGGGCCUCUGCUCCUGGCCGCCACCCGGCACACAAUGCACACUAUGGCGCCUCCUGCGGGUGGUGGGCCUGCGGGAGGAUCUAAAAUUUUAACCUUCUCAUCUUUACUUUGCAAAAAUACAGAAGAAAUGUGUCCUUGAGCGUAUUCAACUGUACUUGUGUUACUUUGCAGUGUCUCAAAUCACAUGAAGCCCAGUCUGGAGCUUCUUUGAUGCUCCAUGUCUGAGUGGAAAGAAAUCACUGCUCUGUUUUGUUUUACAUUUUCACCUUCUGCCCGUCUCUUCUCACUGCAGCUCAGUGUGCCUCCAGUUCUCCAGUCUCCCCAACAAACAUAGUUUCUCCCCCUUCCUCGGCUGACUUUCCCAUCUCAACCCACACCAUGAAGGUGUGAUUCUCACAAGUUCAAGCCCUGGGCGCUGUUAAGGUUGAUGGCGCAUCUUUCUGAGGAUUGACUCAAAAAACUGGAAAGUCUCAGAAAAUGGAAAAAGAAAAACCAAAUUUUUACAACAAAAUCAUUUAAAUGUGUCAAAUUAAAUUUCUGGGAGGUAAUAACAAUUUGAAAUCCAAAAGAAUGGGCUCAGGAUAUAUCCUACAAAGUAGAAAUUACUGAAAAACUAACAAGGGAACAUAGCAUAUAAGAAGCUCUCGCUGAAGAUCAACUAUGAAAAAAAGCUACAGAGAGUAUGAAGAGAGACAGUUUCUAAGAGUGUGAUGUAAAUGAAUCUAAAGAUGCAUCUGGGCCCUGAAAGCCAAAGUUGAAGAACCAACCAGCCCAACUACUGGCCUGUGAAGCUCAGUGAGGAGUGAGGCUAUGGAUAUUUAUUCACACUGGUUGAAGUCUUUGGAAAGUUUCGUGUAACAGAAUCACAUUUUCUUUACGGUCAGAUGCUGUGUAAAAUGCAAAUAAAAACAGAAUGUAAUGAUUUACAAACAAAUUAAUUACGUUUAUGAAAACGGUACAAGGAAAACUAUAUAUAUAAUAAAAAGGAGAAAUUUUUUUGAAAAGAAGAAGCUCCCAUGUUUGGUGUAAUUCAUUUCAUAAUGCACCAAAUGUUUACAGUGAGUGAAGUAGGACCUGAAGUGGAGGCAGGCCAUUUUAGGACCUGGACAUGUUAUCAAUGCUGAUACAGUCCAAGGAUUUGGCAGAAAAGCAUGUGUGAUUGAGAGCAUGUUGCUGUAUAAACUUGUACACAUAUCGUUGCAUGUAAGUAAAUUCACAUUUGCCUUCACAGAUGUUGAAAAUAUCUAUACCAUGCUGCACCCUCAAAUUGUUACUGAUGCUGGCCUUGAAGCUGUGCACCAGUGACACGCAGCAGCUUUAAAAUAUGUUGCUGCUUUAUGUCAACAUUUGAUAUGGAUCUUUUGUUUUUCUUUACAUUUUAUACAGCCUACCAAGAGCUGAACACAGAUGCCGUGUAGUCAUGUACCCUUCGUAGUGUUACAGGUUUAUCUCUGAGCACGAUGUCCGGGACGCUGAAGAGACCUAUAACCUCUGUACAUUGAAAUAGCCAUCUGACUGGUGUGGGUACUGUACAGCAAAUAUUGAGGGAUGUUGAAAAUUUAUGUAGCUGAAAUCUGGUGGAAACCAAGAUAAGUUGUUGUAUAUGAAUGUAAUUUAAAUUGGACUCACAUACAGGAUUGGUAGUUCUAUUUUUAAGAGACAUGAUUACCUCAACACAGACACAUACUGCAUUUGGUUAAAUGGCUUUGCACUUAACAUCAAAUUGAGUAGGAGUUCCUCGAUGACUUUUCCCUGUGAUUGUGUCACGUUUAUAGGUAUGUGGAUUGUUUGUUUCUCUAGAUAAUGAUAUGCUGUAUAUGGGACAAUAGAAGUGACCUUAGAAGAGCAGUUUGGUAGUUUGUUAUUUAAAAGAGGUUCUCUUUUGUGAAACACUGGCAUUUCAUCCAAUAAUGCAGAGCCAUAACAUUUUAUUUGCUUCUUGUACUGUACACACACACACACACACACACACACAUAUAUAUAUAUAUAUUAGGAGUGCAACGAUACACAAAAUUCACGGUUCGGUUCGAUACUUUGGUGUCACGGUUCGAUAUUUUUUCGACAAAAAUGUUCAUGCCUUUUUAAUUUGUCAUUUAUUAAAAUUAUGAAUAUAUAUUUUAACUCAAAAGUACAGUUUUUAAAUUUAACCCUAACCCUUGUGCGUGUUUUUUAUUUUGACAGCGAUUGACAGAGAAAUGUCUUUUUCCAAAAUAAAAGCUAUACUAUACGCUUCUUCUGGGCUUUAUUCUCAGCAGCAUAUUAAACAUAUCAGGUCCCCAUAAGGAGAAUCGUGUGCUAACGGCUGUCUAAAUGACUCUGGUAAAGUUUGUAGCAUGCGUGCUUGUUGUUUUUGUCUGCUUCCACUUGUCUUUGCACUAGGAUGAUGUCGGCGUAAAUGUGCAGUCAUAUUCAUUGUGUUCCCACUAGUGCUGUCAGCGUUAAUCUCGUUGAAAUGACCUUAACGCCACAACACGGCAAAUCUCCGUUAACGAACUACCGCGGAUCGCCCCGUGCAUGGGGCUAGACGGCCAACACGUUAACGAGCUAACUGCGCUAACACACUAGUUCCCACCUAUGUAAUUGAGCAUUGCGUGGCACCAGAGUUGGGCAAUCUGUAAUCUGAUUACUUUUUUCAAGUAACGAGUAAAGUAAGGGAUUACUAUUGCAAAAACGGUAAUUAGAUUACCGUUACUUUCCCGUAGGAACGCUGCGCUACUGCAAAAAACCGUGAUUUUUUGCGAGAAUGUCUCACGACAGUGACGUAAGCGAGUGCGCCGUUAGUGACAACAGCUGUGUGCAGAUCAACAAUGGAUCACAUAUCGAUUGUGGGAGAGAGUAUGAGCGUGCAGCGUUUAAAGCGUGGAAGUACUGACCGUACUUUGAGUUUGAUUCCAUAAAAAGUGACAAAAACAUUAGCGUACAUUGUGCGUGGGAAGAAAACUUCUUUUUACAGUGAAAAAAACCCCUAAACUUCCAAGCAAGCACCGAGUAGCUACGACGUGAUGGGAAACUCACAGAGAAAGUCACGGAUUCUUCAACUGACCGCGGCACACCUGCACCAGGGUAAACCUCCGCCUACCGCAGUCCUGCUUUACAGGUGAAAAUAGAGCAACAGGACCGCUGAGUCUUUGACUUUAUUUAUUUUCUGCUGUGUUUUACUUGCAUCUAUUUGAAAGAGUGAGUGUAAACACAAAAAAUAUUUUAUUUUAUGUGCUGGAAUGUGCAGAAAAUAGGUUUAAAUGUUAAACUAAUUUAUUCAAGUCAGAGAAUGUUGCAUAUAAUUAAAUUUUUGCUUGAUGCAUAAAGUUAAAAGAUUAAAACUGAUAAAACAAGUUUAAAAAAGAGACUUUUCCAUUUGAUUACAUUUUGUACUUGUACAUUUUUUGGACUGAAAGAUCUAUCGCUUUAUCACCUCUUCAGGUUGUAAAUCGUGUUUUUAAAAAGUAACUGAGUAACCAAGUAAUUAAUUACUUUUGAAAAUAAGUAAUCAGUAAAGUAACGGGAUUACUUUUUUGGGGAAGUAAUCAGUAAUUAGUUACUGAUUACUUUUUUCAAGUAACUUGACCAACACUGCGUGGCACAUCCAACAUACUGUUUUACUUUAGUCCAUGACGCGCUUACCUUCAGGGUCAUACAUCACAUGAAAACCAAAAUAGUUCCAAACGCCAGAUCUGAAUGAGGUUCAAUUUGCCAUGUUGCAAGGAGAGCUUAACUUCUGUCUUGCUAGCUUGCCCUGCGCUCUUCUUUCUGCCUAUGCUGUCUGUGUUGAGCGCUCAGUGGAUCUGCGCUCGACAGUGCAGCCUAGGCGGAGUAGUCAAACGCAGAUUCACUGAGCGCUCAACACAGACAGCAUUGUCAGAAGGAAAGUUGAUAAAAUAAAUUACAAAUUUUGUAUUGUUCGAUACAUAUGCUUACCGAACCGAAAGCACUGUAUUGAACGGUUCAAUGUCGAUACAAAUAUCGUUGCACCCCUAAUAUAUAUAUAUAUAUAUAUAUAUAUAUAUAUAUAUAUAUAUAUAUAUAUAUAUAUAUAUAGUACAAAAAAAAAAAAGCUAAGUGCGCUCUGUGAUACUUAAAACCCUCUAAGUAUCAUGUUACAAUGGAAAGUAAUCAGGUCCUCACCAGGUUUUAAAAUGGGGCCAAUACAAGAACAAAACUCUGCACAUUACACUGUGUUAUUAUUUAGGUGUGAGGAAACCUAAGAACGCAUUUACAGUACCAGACAAAGCAUACUAUGACCUCAUAGGAGAGUAAUCCUAAGCACAUCAACAAGAAAGCAAAAAAAAAAAAAAACCCCACAAAACAUUAAUAAUCUAAUCAAAUCUACAAUAAGUAGGAUAUGAGUAGAACUGAGGCAUUAUCAUAGUCCACGGUUCAGACCCCAUCUAUUGUCCUCAUGACAGGUGUCCAUGAACAAAUGUCUGCAAACCUCAAUAAACUGAAGUGACUGUAUAGAAGAGUACGGCAAAAUGGCUCCACAAGUAUGUGAAAGGUGAUGAGAGGAUACAAGCUACUGAAUCAUUGGAUGUCAUUAGUUUUUCACACACUGCUUAUGCAUUUUGUCUUUGUUAAUUAAAUCAAUUAUGACAUAGUGUUAAACUUAAUGUUCAUCUCAAAUUGUAUUUACCUCAUUUUAAAACCUGGUAAAAACUAUACAUAAUUGUUUUAUCACUCCCUUAUAAAACCUUAGAUUGAUUUUCUUUUUACCAUGACCUUAGGCUUUACAAAAUGUGCAGAAAUGACUGCAUUUGUUUGGUUGUUUGUUUUGUUGCUUUGUUUUGGGGUGUUUCACACAUGGACCUGCAGAACUUUGAUCCUCUUUGAAACCAUGCUCACAGUUAAAGAUACUAUCACUGACUAGAGUAUCAGAAGGACGAAUAACUUUUUUGCUAAUUUUUAAAUACAAAUAUAAAUACGCUGCACAAAAAUGAAAGAAACACCUUUUUAAUCAGAGAAUAGCAUGUAAUGAGUGAAACUUUGAGAACAUGCGCCAUCUGCUCCAGCCUGUCAAACAUAAACAAUCUUUCCUUUUAAGUACUUAGGAAAUCCUUGAAUUUAUAAAAACAAAACAAAACCCACAAAAAAACCAGGAAAAAAAUCACUGUAUUCAGUCAUAAUACUUUUUCUGACUAUAUAAAUGCAGUAGACACAUAAACUGUGAUGUUUUAAUCCAAAAACACACCUUUGUUAAAAGUUACCAGUUUAUGUUAUAGACACACUGUAUUAGAUUCACACAUGUACACCUCCCUGUUUGGUGUGUAUUCUUUGUGCUUUUUGCCCUGAAACUCUGAUUGUAAAGGGUCUGUGAACAGAUUGUGUGACAAUAGCCACAGAAAAUGGAAUUUGACACACAAAUGAUCACCGCUCACACAGUGCAUGUAAGACAGGUGGACACAUACAGUUAGCCCAUAAAUAUUUGGACAGACAACUUUUUUCUAAUACUGGCUCUGUACAUUUUAAAUGAAGCAAAUCAAAUGCAGUUGAAGUGCAGACUUUCAGCUUUUAUUCAGUGGGUUGAUCAAAAAUAAAUAUGAGGAAGUAAAGCAUGUUUUAACUCAACCCCUUCAUUUAAAUAUUGUCUACCUUACCUUGCAAGCUGCUUUUAAAGCACCUUGAGGUAACUGUUACUGUGAUUUGGUGCUGUAUAAAUAAAAUCAAAUUGAAUUUCAGGGGUUUGAAAGUAAUUGGACAAAUUCAAUAACUGAAAAUAAAAUGUCUGUUUCUAAUACUUGGUUGAAAAGCCAAAGGCAUUGACAGCCUGAAGUCUUGAACUCAUGGUUUCCUCCUUUUUAAUGCUCUGCCAGGCUUUACUUCAGUGACUUUCGGUUGAUGUUUGUUUGCGGCCCCGUCUGAAGCUUAGUCUUCAACAACUGAAAUGCACACUCACUUAGUUUAAGAUCAGGUGACUGCCUUGGCCAUUCAAGAAUAUUCCACUUGCUUUAAUAAACUCCUGGGUUGCUCUGGCUGUAUGUUUGGGUCAUUGUCCAUCUGUAUUAUGAAACAAGGCCCAAUCAGAUUGACUGCAUUUAGCUGGAUUUAGCAGACAGUAUGUCUCUGAACACCUCAGAAUUCAUUCAGCUGCUUCUGUCCUGUGUCACAUCAUCAAUAAACACUAGUGUCCCAGUGCCACUUGUAGCCAUGUACACCCAAGCCAUCACACUGCCUCCGUAGUAUUUUACAGAGGAUGUGGUUACUUGGACCAUGAGCUGUUCCACUCCUUCGCCAACAUUUUUUCUUGCCAUCAUUCUGGUAGAGGUUGAUUUUGGUUUAAUCUGUCUAAUGAGUGUUUUUCCAGCACUGUGCAGGCUGUAUUAGAUGUUCACUUGGUUGGCUUUUGUGAAUAGGUUUUUCUUCAGCAUGGAAAUGAUUCUGCAAUCACCCACCACUGUUGUCUUUGACGUCCAGGUCUUUUUGUGUUGCUGACUUCAUCAGUGCUUUCUUUCUUACUCAGAAUUGACAAAACUGUAGAUUUUGCCAUUCGUAAUAUUUCUCAGACAGCUUUUUUUUUUCUGUUUUUGCAGCUUUAGGAUGUCUUAUUCCACCUUCAUGUAGAGCUCUUUUCACCACGUUUUCUGUUCAUAGCAAAAUCUUCCAAAUGCAAGCACCACACCUCAAGUCAACUGCGGGCGUUUUAUCUGCUUAAUUGAUAAUGACAUAACAAAGGAACUGCCCACACAUGCAAAUGAAAGAACACUUUGAGUCAAUUGUCCAAUUACUUUUGGUACCUUUGGUUAAGACGCUGAAUCUCCUAAACCCCUUCAUCCAGUUUGAAUGUGGAUACCAUCAAAUGACAGCUGCUGGACAACUUUAGAAAAUACGAAAUAGUUUGCAGAUUUUGAACUUUGUUAGUUAAUUGAUUUGGUGGCAAUGGAGGCGGCCUUCAAUAGGAAAAGCUGUGAAAUACAAAGUUCCUGUUUUUCCACUAUGACAGUGCGUCCACAGUAAGAAAACAGGGCAUUCUCUGUGAAUUAACAACAAAUUUAUGUUUGUAAUUAUAAAAUUACAGCACAAGACCUUUCUGUAAUUUUCCACAUUUAUCAUGUAGGAUCAGAAAAUAAUGAUUUUUGUUUAUUGGAUUAUUGGAGUCUGAUGUAUUCAGAAAUCACAUUCAAAAGCUAGUGUGUUGUAUUUCAUGCUAAAUGUAGCUAUCAGUAAUAUGACUAACAUUUUUUUUACAACAUUCUGAGUUGAACAUUUUUAUAUUUAUUUUGGAUCUUAAAAUAGAAAAACUGCUUUAACUAUGCAAAUUAUAGUAAAAGGAGACAAAUGCUAUUCACUUGCUUUGUAAAUAAAGAAGCAAUAAAUAAAAUAAAGUAAAUGUAUACACUUUUAACUAGAUGCUUAUGGUUUCAUUACAGUAUUUUGUAUGAUACAUUGUGUAUAAUAUAUUUUAUUGUUGUUAUUUUAAUUCAUUUUAUGAUGGUAUUCACUGCCAUGAAGUCUACUGAGGAAAACUGUCCUGUCUGUAUGUCUGAAUGAAUAAAGGGCAUAACCAAAGACAA